RNAcentral lists this ribosomal RNA (835 nucleotides) under uncultured bacterium. RNAcentral describes it as "bacterial SSU rRNA". It matches the Rfam family "Bacterial small subunit ribosomal RNA", at positions 34 to 889 of the family's 1533-position model. The record is from RNAcentral.
CGCUGGCGGCGUGCUUAACACAUGCAAGUCGAACGAUGAAGCCUAGCUUGCUAGGUGGAUUAGUGGCGCACGGGUGAGUAAUAUAUAGAUAACGUGCCUCUUAGUCUGGGAUAGCCAUUGGAAACGAUGAUUAAUACUAGAUACUCCUUCUCUAUCAAAUUAGAGUCGGGAAAGUUUUUCGCUAAGAGAUCGGUCUAUAUCCCAUCAGCUAGUUGGUAGUGUAAGAGACUACCAAGGCAAUGACGGGUAGCGGGUUUGAGAGGAUGAUCCGCCACACUGGUACUGAGACACGGACCAGACUCCUACGGGAGGCAGCAGUGAGGAAUAUUGCACAAUGGAGGAAACUCUGAUGCAGCAACGCCGCGUGGAGGAUGACGCAUUUCGGUGUGUAAACUCCUUUUAUAUGUCAAGAAAAUGACGGUAGCAUAUGAAUAAGCACCGGCUAACUCCGUGCCAGCAGCCGCGGUAAUACGGAGGGUGCAAGCGUUAUUCGGAAUCACUGGGCGUAAAGGACGCGUAGGCGGGAUGCCAAGUCUGAUGUGAAAUCCUAUGGCUUAACCAUAGAACUGCAUUGGAAACUGGUAACCUAGAGUAUGGGAGGGGGAGAUGGAAUUAGUGGUGUAGGGGUAAAAUCCGUAGAUAUCACUAGGAAUACCGAAAGCGAAGGCGAUCUCCUGGAACAAUACUGACGCUAAGGCGUGAAAGCGUGGGGAGCAAACGGGAUUAGAUACCCCGGUAGUCCACGCCCUAAACGAUGUUCACUAGUCGUCGGGAUGCUAGUCAUCUCGGUGAUGCACUUAACAGAUUAAGUGAACCGCCUGGGGAGUACGGUCGC